CAUGCCCCUUAUACGCUGGGCUACACACGUGCUACAAUGGGUAGUACAGAGAGUCGCAAAGCCGUGAGGUGGAGCUAAUCUCAGAAAACUAUUCUUAGUUCGGAUUGUACUCUGCAACUCGAGUACAUGAAGUUGGAAUCGCUAGUAAUCGCAAAUCAGCUAUGUCGCGGUGAAUACGUUCUCGGGUCUUGUACACACCGCCCGUCACACCACGAGAGUUGGUUGCACCUGAAGUAGCAGGCCUAACCGUAAGGAGGGAUGCUCCGAGGGUGUGAUUAGCGAUUGGGGUGAAGUCGUAACAAGGUAUCCGUACGGGAACGUGCGGAUGGAUCACCUCCUUUCUAAGGAGAAAAGUCUUUCUCUAUUCUAUUGGUAAUGUUCUUUACAUUACUUCUGAACAUUGGAAACUAUAUAGUAGAACAAACAAGAAAAAAAUUAACUCUAACAAUUUCUUAGAGUUAGCUGUCAAAAAAUAGAUUAAAAUAAUUAAGGGCACACAAAGGAUGCCUAGGUAGUAAGAGCCGAUGAAGGACGUGGUAAGCUGCGAUAAGCCUAG
This 556-nucleotide small RNA is filed under the name uncultured Fusobacterium sp. RNAcentral describes it as "bacterial SSU rRNA". The stretch from base 1 to 341 matches the Rfam family "Bacterial small subunit ribosomal RNA", at positions 1194 to 1533 of the family's 1533-position model. The record is from RNAcentral. Lineage: Bacteria; Fusobacteriati; Fusobacteriota; Fusobacteriia; Fusobacteriales; Fusobacteriaceae.